GGGCCCAUAGCUCAGCUGGUUAGAGCACUUGACUCAUAAUCAAGGGGUCGCUGGUUCAAGCCCAGCUGGGCCCACCA
Molecule: transfer RNA, 77 nt
Filed under: Flavobacteriales bacterium
Lineage: Bacteria; Pseudomonadati; Bacteroidota; Flavobacteriia; Flavobacteriales
Description: tRNA-Met
Rfam family: tRNA
About the family: Transfer RNA (tRNA) molecules are approximately 80 nucleotides in length. Their secondary structure includes four short double-helical elements and three loops (D, anti-codon, and T loops).
Source: RNAcentral